UACAGAGGUCCCAAGCGUUGUUCGGAUUCACUGGGCGUAAAGGGUGCGUAGGUGGUGGGAUAAGUCGGAUGUGAAAUCUCCGGGCUCAACCCGGAAAUGGCAUUGGAUACUAUCUUGCUAGAGGGUUUGAGGGGGGACUGGAAUACUUGGUGUAGCAGUGAAAUGCGUAGAUAUCAAGUGGAACACCGGUGGCGAAGGCGAGUCCCUGGAAAAUACCUGACACUGAGGCACGAAAGCUAGGGGAGCAAACAGG
Molecule: ribosomal RNA, 253 nt
Filed under: uncultured bacterium
Lineage: Bacteria
Description: partial 16S ribosomal RNA
Rfam family: Bacterial small subunit ribosomal RNA
Source: RNAcentral